Molecule: unclassified non-coding RNA, 357 nt
Filed under: soil metagenome
Description: partial contains 5.8S ribosomal RNA, internal transcribed spacer 2, and large subunit ribosomal RNA
Rfam family: 5.8S ribosomal RNA (bases 1-120)
Source: RNAcentral
GAUGAAGAACGUAGCGAAAUGCGAUAAGUAAUGUGAAUUGCAGAAUUCAGUGAAUCAUCGAAUCUUUGAACGCACAUUGCGCCCGCUGGUAUUCCGGCGGGCAUGCCUGUUCGAGCGUCAUUUCAACCCUCAAGCUCUCCGGAGUUUGGUGUUGGGGCGCCUGGGGCUUUUCGACCUCAGGGCCCUCAAGUCCAUCGGCGGGACCGCAAGGACACUGAGCGCAGUAGUAUUAUUUCGCUCGGUAGGAUCUUCCACGGCGGGUCGAUCUGGCCGCUAAACCCCCCAAUUCUCACCAAAGGUUGUCCUCGGAUCAGGUAGGAAUACCCGCUGAACUUAAGCAUAUCAAUAAGCGGAGGA